This 89-nucleotide transfer RNA is filed under the name Staphylococcus aureus. RNAcentral's name for it is "tRNA-Leu". It matches the Rfam family "tRNA". From Rfam's summary of the family: Transfer RNA (tRNA) molecules are approximately 80 nucleotides in length. Their secondary structure includes four short double-helical elements and three loops (D, anti-codon, and T loops). Further hydrogen bonds mediate the characteristic L-shaped molecular structure. tRNAs have two regions of fundamental functional importance: the anti-codon, which is responsible for specific mRNA codon recognition, and the 3' end, to which the tRNAs corresponding amino acid is attached (by aminoacyl-tRNA synthetases). tRNAs cope with the degeneracy of the genetic code in two manners: having more than one tRNA (with a specific anti-codon) for a particular amino acid; and 'wobble' base-pairing, i.e. permitting non-standard base-pairing at the 3rd anti-codon position. Lineage: Bacteria; Bacillati; Bacillota; Bacilli; Caryophanales; Staphylococcaceae. The record is from RNAcentral.
GCCGGGGUGGCGGAACUGGAAGACGCACAGGACUUAAAAUCCUGCGGUGAGUGAUCACCGUACCGGUUCGAUUCCGGUCCUCGGCACCA